This 3467-nucleotide long non-coding RNA is filed under the name Homo sapiens (human). RNAcentral's name for it is "HSALNT0337943". The record is from RNAcentral. Lineage: Eukaryota; Metazoa; Chordata; Mammalia; Primates; Hominidae.
CUGGGAAGUGUUUAGGUCAUGAGAGUGGAGCCCUCAUCAAUGGAUUAGUGUCCAUUAUGGAAGAGCUUGAGGCCGUGAGUUUGAGCUCUUGCUCUCUCUCACCAUCUCUUUUUACCCUUCCAUCAGGGAACGACACAGCAAGAAGGCCCAUACCAGGUGCCAACCUCUUAAUCUUGGACUUUCCAGCCUCCAGAACUACAAGAAGUACUGCUUUAAUAAACGUGAACCGAUGUGCACUCCUGUAUGUUUGAAACUAAGAAGCCUAAGGUGAAUUAAAGAAUCUGUGGUUCUUGUGGGUCCUGCAGGUUACAAACUUGUGAAAAAUCUUUGACUUUAUACAUCCCACUGCCCUACCCUGUUGGAAAAGACCAAUCCUGGGUAAGUAGAACGUCCUCUUAGCAUAGUAGAAUAUGGGUCAAUUUAGUUAGCACUAAGGCCUUUACUCCCAGGGAUGGGAAUAUCCUGAUGUUAGGAAGUUCCAAAGAGUAAGAUCAAAGGUUCUUUGCUCUGGUUUGGUUUCCUCCUUCCCCUUGCUCUCUGUCUUAGCCUGUUUGAGCAGCUGUAGCAGAAUACCAUAGACUAGGUGGCAGGUAGACAACAGAAAUGCAUUGCUCACAGUUCUGGAGACUGGGGAAUGCAAGAUUGAGGUGCCAGCAGAUUUCAUGUCAGGUACUAGCCUUCUUGGUUCACAGAUGGCUGUCUUCUCUCUGUCUCCUCACAUGGUGGAAAUAAUGAGGGAGCUCUUUGUGGUCUAUUUAUUUAUUUUUUUCUAGACAAGGUCUUGCUCGGUCACCCAGGCUGGAGCACUAUGGUGUGAUCUCGGCUUAUCACAACCUCUGCCUCCUGGGUUCAAGCCAUCCUCCCACCUCAGCCACCUGAGUAGCUGGGACUACAGGCGCAUGCCACCAUGCCCAGCUAAUUUUUGUGUUUUCAGUAGAGAUGGGGUUUCACCGUGUUGCUCAGGCUGGUCUCAAAUUCCUGGCCUCAAGUGAUCUGCCAGCCUCAGCCUCCCAAAGUGCUGGCAUUAUAGGCAUGAGCCACCGAUGCCUGAUCGUGGUCUAUUUUAUAAGGGCACUAAUCCCUUUCACGAGGGCUCCACUCUCAUGAAUGACUUAAUCAUCUACUAAAGGCCUCACCUCCUAAUACAAUCAUAUUGGAGGUAAGGAUUUCCAUAUAUGAAUUUGGGGUGAACACAUUCAUUCUAUAGCACUCACCCACAUUUUAUCGAGGCACACUUCUUUUCCAUGGAUUUGUUUGGGGCUGGAAACAUAAAUCAGCAAAUACAUUUUCAGGAAGACUAUCUCAAGUACUGCUGGAGUAAUAACUGCAGAAAGUGUUAGAAAUAUCAUAGAAAAGUGAAUUCUCAGCAUUGCUCAAGAAUUUUUUUUCUUUUUUUGAGAUGGAGUCUCAUUCUGUUGCCCAGGCUGGGGUGCAGUGGCAUGAUCUCUGCUCACUGAAACCUCUGCCUCCCUGAUUCAAGCGAUUCUACCGCCUCAGCCUCACGAAUAGCUGGGAUUACAGGUGUGCACCACCGUGCCUGGCUAAUUUUGGGAGAUGUUAGCUGAAUUCUACACUGGCUGAUAAAAGCAUACCACCGGAAUGCUGAAGCCCUGAUGGAAGAUGAAUAGAAACCGGACACUCCCACAGAGGGCUGGUUAGCUGGUGCACCAUCCCAUUUGCUCUUGGACUCUGCUCACUUCACCUCUCGGUGUGACUUUGCGAUGGCUGGAGCUGUGCCAGGCCUGCUACCCCUGGACACCUGAUGAUAUCAAGAGGACUAAGGGCCCCUGAAAUUUCAGAAAUGCUGAAUCCGUGGCAAAAGAGAUGUUAUUGGUGCCCUGAGUUCUUGUAAUCUCCAAGGAGAGAAAUCAAGAGGGAUCACCAGACAUAGCAGCCAAAAAGAAAGAGAAAAAUUUAUUUUAGCUUGUGUGCAAGGAAGUCAGCACUGCAAAAGGAAAAGCAACAAGGAACUCUCUAAUUCCUAUCUGACAGUUCACAGAGAUGUGGUGAGUAAGUACAAGUAGGUCUUCGACAAAAUUUCUUGCAAAUACUCUAUUGGUCAAGUCCUUGUAGAAUCAACUAGGAAAGUACAGUGCCUAUGUUAGGUUUUUAAUCUGUCAACAUGCUAUAGCUUUAUUUGAUGAAAGACUGCUCCAUGCUGUGUAACCAGUAAAAUAUGAAUUAUAGGUAAUCAUCUCAUCAGAGUUGAAUUCUUUACAUUUAAAAAAUAUGAAUCCUACCUUAAGGAAAGCUUCUAUUUUCAAAGUGGAAUCUUUCUAAAUACUCUUGGAACUGGAGUUAUUUUCAAGUGCCCUAGAGAAAGCAAACAGCUGUUGAAUCCUACACAGAACUAAGAGUUCAAAAAUCAGUGCUUAGACUUUCCAUUUCAGCCCAGCAGGGUCACCCAAGUGACAUUUCUGGGGAACAGAAUCAACUUCCAGUAAAUUAGCAAACAUACACCACAAAUGGAAAUAUUCAAUUGAAUAUUUAUAAGAAAUAAAAAAUUGAAGGUGUAUGGAAAAGAGAAUCACUUUUUAUUAUUGAAAUGUCUAAUGCUUCAAGCUAAUAGUUUAAACUGAAAAUCAGGAUGUUAUUGGGAAAGGAAUGCAAUUAACAUUUUAUGAGUAACUGUGUGGUGGUGUUUGUUAUUGUUAAAGGAAAAAAAAAGCAAAUACUUCCCAAGUACACUUUGUUUAUUUCAAUUCCUAGCGGCAGAGAUUUUAAGGGUGUUUACUGGUGUAAUGGGAAGAGCACUGGACUAGGAGCCAGGAAACCUGAGUUUGGCCAGUGAUCUUUUGGCCUUGAUUUUCUUUUCUGUAAAAUGAGAAAGAGGGCUAGGCUAGUCGUUUCUGGCACAUGUCUGGCCACAUGACAAACCUCUUCCUCAAAGAUUAUGACUCAGUAGGUCUGGGAGACCCGCUUCUGGCAUACUGAGAUUAGAUCCCACAAGCACAUCAUUUAGCUUAUGUGGAACUAAUGGAUGGAUCAAAACAUUGAAAGAUAAGCAGUGUUUAUUCUAAGGGAGAAAGGGAAGGAGACUUGCCGGAAAUCAUGGAAGCUGAGAUGUCAUAUUAAAAGAAGCAAUAGAAAGAAUCUUUGAGCCAAAGUUAUCAAAAAUACAGGCAUUUCCAUUGUGCAUUUGUGGAAGAAAGACACACCAUGAUUUGAAAGUUUCUGAUGUGAUUCAAGGAUGCCUAUGAGGAGGCAAGUAAGCGGCACCACUGUUUGCACUCUGACUCCCUUUUUACCCAGUGCAUCUCUGCUUAGUCUGUUUUAAAUGCCACAGUUCAGUGGCUGAAACAUGAUUGAGCUGUAUAUUCUAACACUAUGUCCUGGAAACUGGUGAAUCUGUAUUUGUUCCCAAUUUCUGUAUCUGUUAAUGCCACCAUCUUUCUCCUUAUACACACUUUUAUUAGGUUGGUGCAAAAGCAAUUGUGGUUUUUGCCAUUAAUAAAAGCCCAUGUCCA